GGGUGAGUAAUGCAUCGGAACGUGCCCAAUCGUGGGGGAUAACGCAGCGAAAGCUGUGCUAAUACCGCAUACGAUCUACGGAUGAAAGCGGGGGAUCGCAAGGCCUCGCGCGAUUGGAGCGGCCGAUAUCAGAUUAGGUAGUUGGUGGGGUAAAGGCUCACCAAGCCAACGAUCUGUAGCUGGUCUGAGAGGACGACCAGCCACACUGGAACUGAGACACGGUCCAGACUCC
RNAcentral lists this ribosomal RNA (232 nucleotides) under uncultured bacterium. RNAcentral's name for it is "partial 16S ribosomal RNA". It matches the Rfam family "Bacterial small subunit ribosomal RNA", at positions 104 to 339 of the family's 1533-position model. The record is from RNAcentral.